AUUGAACGCUGGCGGCAUGCUUUACACAUGCAAGUCGAACGGUAACAGGCCGCAAGGUGCUGACGAGUGGCGAACGGGUGAGUAAUGCAUCGGAACGUGCCCAGUCGUGGGGGAUAACUACUCGAAAGAGUAGCUAAUACCGCAUACGAUCUAUGGAUGAAAGCGGGGGACCGUAAGGCCUCGCGCGAUUGGAGCGGCCGAUGUCAGAUUAGGUAGUUGGUGGGGUAAAGGCUCACCAAGCCAACGAUCUGUAGCUGGUCUGAGAGGACAACCAGCCACACUGGGACUGAGACACGGCCCAGACUCCUACGGGAGGCAGCAGUGGGGAAUUUUGGACAAUGGGCGCAAGCCUGAUCCAGCAAUGCCGCGUGCAGGAAGUAGGCCUUCGGGUUGUAAACUGCUUUUGUACGGAACGAAACGGCUCUGGUUAAUACCCGGGGCUAAUGACGGUACCGUAAGAAUAAGCACCGGCUAACUACGUG
RNAcentral lists this ribosomal RNA (482 nucleotides) under uncultured bacterium. RNAcentral describes it as "partial 16S ribosomal RNA". It matches the Rfam family "Bacterial small subunit ribosomal RNA", at positions 30 to 507 of the family's 1533-position model. The record is from RNAcentral.